AUACGGAUGGUGCAAGCGUUAAUCGGAAUCACUGGGCGUAAAGCGUGCGUAGGCUGCCUGUUAAGUCAGGUGUGAAAGCCCUCGGCUCAACCGGGGAAUUGCACUUGAUACUGACAGGCUUGAGUCCUGGAGAGGAUGGCGGAAUUCCUGGUGUAGGAGUGGAAUCCGUAGAUAUCAGGAGGAACACCGGUGGCGAAGGCGGCCAUCUGGACAGGUACUGACGCUGAGGUACGAAAGCGUGGGGAGCAAACAGGAUUAGAUACCCUGGUAGUCCACGCUGUAAACGAUGGAUGCUAGGUGUCGGGGGGAUUCACCUUCGGUGCCGCAGCUAACGCAUUAAGCAUCCCGCCUGGGGAGUACGGUCGCAAGGCUGAA
This 375-nucleotide ribosomal RNA is filed under the name uncultured bacterium. RNAcentral's name for it is "bacterial SSU rRNA". It matches the Rfam family "Bacterial small subunit ribosomal RNA", at positions 523 to 898 of the family's 1533-position model. The record is from RNAcentral.